This is a long non-coding RNA of Gallus gallus (chicken), 486 nucleotides long. Lineage: Eukaryota; Metazoa; Chordata; Aves; Galliformes; Phasianidae. The record is from Ensembl.
UUUUCUUUGUGUUUUAGCUUCCAUUACUACUAAAGAGAAAAUGUAAAUAUGAAGAGAAGUCCUCAUUGCUGCAGUCAUCUAGAUUACACGGGGGUUGAGAGGAAGGGUGGCCCUGAAAUGGUACUGAAGCACAAGUAAUGGUGAAAAAGAGAUAAAACCAUCCCAGCUAAGCUACUCACCUGGCAAGUACUGUGUUCCCAAGAAAGCCACAGAAAUGUCUUGAAGAAAGCAACGUAACCACUUUAGUGCUGGUGGUUUGGUGAACCUCACAGGGCGGCCUGCAGUCGGAUGUCAGCCAUACUUUCCAAACAACACGAGGACUGGUCAGUGGUUUGAGAUGAAAUGCAGCCAGGCUUGCUCUUUGGCUCCAGUGUGCCAAUAAGGACCACCUCUGAGACUGCAGGAUCUUGAAGGUUUAAAGGCCAUUCAGAUGAGACAGGACCAGUAGCCGGUAGAAGUAUCAGACCGUCAGUAUGUGAAAAGCAG